GAUGAACGCUGACAGAAUGCUUAACACAUGCAAGUCUACUUGAACUUCGGUUUGGGUGGCGGACGGGUGAGUAACGCGUAAAGAACUUGCCUCACAGUUAGGGACAACAUUUGGAAACGAAUGCUAAUACCUGAUAUUAUGAUUUCAGGGCAUCCUAGGAUUAUGAAAGCUAUAUGUGCUGUGAGAGAGCUUUGCGUCCCAUUAGCUAGUUGGAGAGGUAACGGCUCACCAAGGCGAUGAUGGGUAGCCGGCCUGAGAGGGUGAACGGCCACAAGGGGACUGAGACACGGCCCUUACUCCUACGGGAGGCAGCAGUGGGGAAUAUUGGACAAUGGACCAAAAGUCUGAUCCAGCAAUUCUGUGUGCACGAUGACGUUUUUCGGAAUGUAAAGUGCUUUCAGUUGGGAAGAAAAAAAUGACGGUACCAACAGAAGAAGUGACGGCUAAAUACGUG
Molecule: ribosomal RNA, 454 nt
Filed under: uncultured bacterium
Lineage: Bacteria
Description: partial 16S ribosomal RNA
Rfam family: Bacterial small subunit ribosomal RNA
Source: RNAcentral